AAAACGACUUAUCAAAACAAACAUUUUCUUCAAACUAAUAUUGGUUUAAAAUAUAGUUAAUCUAUGUGCGUGUACUUCGUUGUCGGCCUGUCUGUUAUAUGUGAACUCCGCGACAUUUCUGUCUGUCGUGUCGCUUCCUACAAGUGUGAAUCGGGCUUUACAUGUGAUGUUUAGCAGUUUAAAUUGAAAUUAUACAGGGUGUUUAACAUAACGUAUGGCACUCGUUAU
Non-coding RNA from Cinara cedri, 228 nucleotides. NCBI's taxonomy places the organism in Eukaryota, Metazoa, Arthropoda, Insecta, Hemiptera, Aphididae. The record is from the annotation of a GenBank genome assembly.